CCUACGGGAGGCAGCAGUGAGGAAUAUUGGUCAAUGGACGAGCGUCUGAACCAGCCAAGUAGCGUGAAGGAUGACUGCCCUAUGGGUUGUAAACUUCUUUUAUAUGGGAAUAAAAUGUUCCACGUGUGGGAUUUUGUAUGUACCAUAUGAAUAAGGAUUGGCUAACUCCGUGCCAGCAGCCGCGGUAAUACGGAGGAUCCGAGCGUUUUUCGGAUUUAUUGGGUUUAAAGGGGGCGUAGGUGGAUUGUUAAGGCAGUUGUGAAAGUUUGCGGCUCAACCGUAAAAUUGCAGUUGAAACUGGCAGUCUUGAGUACAGUAGAGGUGGGCGGAAGUCGUGGUGUAGCGGUGAAAUGCUUAGAUAUCACGAAGAACUCCGAUUGCGAAGGCAGUUCACUGGACUGCAACUGACACUGAGGCUCGAAAGUGUGGGUAUCAAACAGGAUUAGAUACCCGGGUAGUC
This 460-nucleotide ribosomal RNA is filed under the name uncultured bacterium. RNAcentral describes it as "partial 16S ribosomal RNA". It matches the Rfam family "Bacterial small subunit ribosomal RNA", at positions 338 to 795 of the family's 1533-position model. The record is from RNAcentral.